This 68-nucleotide transfer RNA is filed under the name Limnophyes minimus. RNAcentral's name for it is "tRNA-Ser". Lineage: Eukaryota; Metazoa; Arthropoda; Insecta; Diptera; Chironomidae. The record is from RNAcentral.
GAAAUAAAAAGUUUUAAGAGAAAGCUGCUAACUUUCUUCUUUAAUGGUUAAAUUCCAUUUAUAUUUCU